UGUUUAGCAGCACAUGUCUUUGUGUUCUCAUUUUAGUCCAGCCAUACAGUAUUUUGGCACAGCUCCCCUGAGACCAACACAAACGAUGGAAAGAUUCCAUGGCGGGUGUGAAAUCACAUGACUGAAACUUGAUAAUCCUUUCCACCGGCUGGCUGAACUCACAGAGCUAGACAACAUCAACAUGCUUCCUACCCUCCUCACCACCAUGCUUUUUACAAUGGGAUCAGACGCUGUCCCUUAUGCCAUCUUAUCUCCACCAUUUCACUUGAACACUGAUCUCAGAGGCUUGACCAUCCUGGUGUGUGUGCUUCAUGACAUUCAUCAAUGAGAGCUGGAGGUCACCUGGAUUUCUAGUGGCACCAGAGGAACUAAUCCAGCAGUCCCUACCUUACUCCAAGGACACAGUGGCAUUCAGAGCACAAUGUCUGUUAUAUCUGUGCCCACGAGUGAAUGGAUGUCCUACACCUGCUUUGUGAGUCACAGAGACUCCGAUCAACUCGUGCACAGACAUUAUGCUGGACUCCCAAUGGAGACAACUGCUCUCAGAAUGAUCCUCCUCAAAAUCACCAUUUUCAACGUUUUGAUGACAGUGCAAGCCGUCAUAAAGUGAGUUUCAAAAACAACUGCCAUGGAUGUCAGAGUUAAUUGGACGUGCUGUUGGAGGUUUAUAGCAGGAGGAGGAAUUCCAGCUGAUGUAAAUGAGAAUCUGGAAUGUUGAUGAGGGUCUCGAUGAACUUCAGAGCAACAUCACGCCACAAGACGCAGGUGCUUCGAUAUGUGGGCAGAUGAGUGAGAUAGCUGCUCAAAACCACAUCAUGUACACAAUACAACAAAUGCACUGCACUACAAGCUGCUUUUGUAGGCCAUUGUCAAAAAUAAAAGCUUUAAAUGGCAUUGUAAAGUCAGCUUCCACUAAUGUGACACUGUUGAACUCUUGAACGUGACAAUGAUGAACCUUUGAUGAAACUGUCUGUAUGGCAUGAAUGAGAUCAUUGUGCAUAACACUCUAUCAAAGAUUGAGACAGUUUCAUU
Molecule: long non-coding RNA, 1032 nt
Organism: Sinocyclocheilus anshuiensis
Lineage: Eukaryota; Metazoa; Chordata; Actinopteri; Cypriniformes; Cyprinidae
Exons: 4
Source: RefSeq, a predicted model, not a curated record